GGACACUGGAAGGAUUGACAGAUUGAGAGCUCUUUCUUGAUUCGGUGGGUGGUGGUGCAUGGCCGUUCUUAGUUGGUGGAGCGAUUUGUCUGGUUAAUUCCGAUAACGAACGAGACUCUAGCCUGCUAAAUAGGUGGUCGGUUUAAUUUUUUUAACCGAAACUGGGGGUCGGAGUCGUCCGGGCCAAGGCGGUUGCUGGGGGCGGCCGGGUUCUAGUCCUCUUCGGUGUGCGGCAUGUGUCGGUUCUUUUUGGUUUGUGGCGGCAUCUCUUUCGGGGGGUGCUGUGGCGAGCUGGGGGGGGCUGGUGCGGUCGCGUGUCGGGGUGGGCACCUCGGUUGUUUCUUCGAUUGUCUCCGGGCGAAACUCUGGCUCUCGCGUCGACCACAUCUCUUCUUAGAGGGACAAGCGGCGUCCAGCCGCGUGACAGUGAGCAAUAACAGGUCUGUGAUGCCCUUAGAUGUCCUGGGCCGCACGCGCGCUACACUGAAGGAAUCAGCGUGUUUCACUCUCCCUGUCCGAAAGGACCGGGUAACCGCUGAACCUCCUUCGUG
RNAcentral lists this ribosomal RNA (551 nucleotides) under Eurycercus glacialis. Its description in RNAcentral is "partial small subunit ribosomal RNA". It matches the Rfam family "Eukaryotic small subunit ribosomal RNA", at positions 1226 to 1569 of the family's 1831-position model. Lineage: Eukaryota; Metazoa; Arthropoda; Branchiopoda; Diplostraca; Eurycercidae. The record is from RNAcentral.